CCCCAUAGGGUGGUGUGUACCACCCCUGAUGAGUCCGAAAGGACGAAAUGGGG
RNAcentral lists this non-coding RNA (53 nucleotides) under Eggplant latent viroid. The record is from RNAcentral.